RNAcentral lists this ribosomal RNA (301 nucleotides) under uncultured bacterium. RNAcentral describes it as "partial 16S ribosomal RNA". It matches the Rfam family "Bacterial small subunit ribosomal RNA", at positions 509 to 809 of the family's 1533-position model. The record is from RNAcentral.
CAGUAGCCGCGGUAAUACGAGGGGGGCAAGCGUUGUUCGGAAUUAUUGGGCGUAAAGGGCGCGUAGGCGGUUUGACAAGUCUUGUGUGAAAUCUCUGGGCUCAACCCAGAGUCUGCACGGGAAACUGUCGGGCUAGAGGAUGGGAGAGGUGAGUGGAAUUUCCGGUGUAGCGGUGAAAUGCGUAGAUAUCGGAAGGAACACCUGUGGCGAAAGCGGCUCACUGGACCAUUACUGACGCUGAGGCGCGAAAGCUAGGGGAGCAAACAGGAUUAGAUACCCGUGUAGUCCCUGUCUCUUAUAA